UACGUAGGGGGCAAGCGUUGUCCGGAAUUAUUGGGCGUAAAGAGCGCGUGGGCGGUCCGAUAAGUCAGCUGUGAAAGUCAGGGGCUCAACCCUUGAAAGCCGGCCGAUACUGUCGGACUAGAGUCCGGAAGAGGCAAGUGGAAUUCCUGGUGUAGCGGUGAAAUGCGCAGAUAUCAGGAAGAACACCCGUGGCGAAGGCGGCUCUCUGGGACGUGACUGACGCUGAGACGCGAAAGCGUGGGGAGCGAACAGG
Molecule: ribosomal RNA, 253 nt
Filed under: uncultured bacterium
Lineage: Bacteria
Description: partial 16S ribosomal RNA
Rfam family: Bacterial small subunit ribosomal RNA
Source: RNAcentral